This 204-nucleotide long non-coding RNA is filed under the name Gossypium raimondii (Peruvian cotton). RNAcentral's name for it is "long non-coding RNA (GRAI_LNC002438)". The record is from RNAcentral. Lineage: Eukaryota; Viridiplantae; Streptophyta; Magnoliopsida; Malvales; Malvaceae.
GACUUUAUUGUUGAACACUGCAUGACUGUAUAUUGAUACUAUGAUGGGCUAAGAUCCUAACGCAUACUGAUACUGUGAUGGGCUAAGGCCCCACUGCAUAUUUGAUACUGUACUGAGUUAGGCUAAGGCUCAAACUGUCACUGAUACUGAAAAAGGCUUAGGCCCAAGACUGUUCAACUGUGCACUGUGAAUAUUGAUUGUUUG